ACAGAGGUGGCAAGCGUUGUUCGGAUUUAUUGGGCGUAAAGGGUCCGUAGGCGGUUUGAAAAGUCAGAUGUGAAAGCCCACAGCUCAACUGUGGAACUGCAUUUGAAACUUUCAGACUAGAGUAUGAGAGGGGUUAAGGGAAUUCCCGGUGUAAGGGUGAAAUCUGCAGAGAUCGGGAGGAACACCAGUCGCGAAGGCGCUUAACUGGCUCAUUACUGACGCUCAGGGACGAAAGCUAGGGUAGCAAACGGGA
Molecule: ribosomal RNA, 253 nt
Filed under: uncultured prokaryote
Description: partial 16S ribosomal RNA
Rfam family: Bacterial small subunit ribosomal RNA
Source: RNAcentral